This 486-nucleotide ribosomal RNA is filed under the name uncultured bacterium. Its description in RNAcentral is "partial 16S ribosomal RNA". It matches the Rfam family "Bacterial small subunit ribosomal RNA", at positions 30 to 507 of the family's 1533-position model. The record is from RNAcentral.
AUUGAACGCUGGCGGCAUGCCUUACACAUGCAAGUCGAACGGCAGCACGGGUGCUUGCACCUGGUGGCGAGUGGCGAACGGGUGAGUAAUACAUCUGGACAUGUCCUGUAGUGGGGGAUAGCCCGUCGAAAGCCGGAUUAAUACCGCAUACGAACUACGGAUGAAAGCGGGGGACCUUCGGACCUCGCGCUAUAGGGUUGGCCGAUGGCUGAUUAGCUAGUUGGUGGGGUAAAGGCCUACCAAGGCGACGAUCAGUAGCUGGUCUGAGAGGACGACCAGCCACACUGGGACUGAGACACGGCCCAGACUCCUACGGGAGGCAGCAGUGGGGAAUUUUGGACAAUGGGCGAAAGCCUGAUCCAGCAAUGCCGCGUGUGUGAAGAAGGCCUUCGGGUUGUAAAGCACUUUUGUCAGGAAAGAAAUCCUUGGCCCUAAUACGGUCGGGGGAUGACGGUACCGGAAGAAUAAGCACCGGCUAACUACGUG